RNAcentral lists this ribosomal RNA (611 nucleotides) under uncultured bacterium. RNAcentral's name for it is "bacterial SSU rRNA". The stretch from base 1 to 535 matches the Rfam family "Bacterial small subunit ribosomal RNA", at positions 338 to 873 of the family's 1533-position model. The record is from RNAcentral.
CCUACGGGAGGCAGCAGUAAGGAAUAUUGGUCAAUGGACGCAAGUCUGAACCAGCCAUGCCGCGUGAAGGAUUAAGGCCCUCUGGGUUGUAAACUUCUUUUAUAGGGGACGAAAAAAGGGCAUUCUUGCUCACUUGACGGUACCCUAGGAAUAAGCACCGGCUAACUCCGUGCCAGCAGCCGCGGUAAUACGGAGGGUGCAAGCGUUAUCCGGAUUUACUGGGUUUAAAGGGUGCGUAGGUGGGUUGGUAAGUCAGUGGUGAAAUCUUCGAGCUUAACUCGGAAACUGCCAUUGAUACUAUCAAUCUUGAAUCAUCUAGAGGUAAGCGGAAUAUGUCAUGUAGCGGUGAAAUGCUUAGAUAUGACAUAGAACACCAAUUGCGAAGGCAGCUUACUAUGGAUGUAUUGACACUGAGGCACGAAAGCGUGGGGAUCAAACAGGAUUAGAUACCCUGGUAGUCCACGCCUAAACGANAGAUACUACACAUUAGUGUAUAUACUAUAGUAGUNUGAGACGAAGANAUAAGUAUACCACCGUAGGAGUACGACCGACGAGUAGAACGACAAGAGAGUAGAGNGNGAGAGAGACGACGACGACGACGAGGGAGGAGG